RNAcentral lists this long non-coding RNA (326 nucleotides) under Ananas comosus (pineapple). Its description in RNAcentral is "long non-coding RNA (ACOM_LNC002825)". Lineage: Eukaryota; Viridiplantae; Streptophyta; Magnoliopsida; Poales; Bromeliaceae. The record is from RNAcentral.
GGUGGAUGACGAGGAACGGAUCGCAGCGGCCGUGUACUGCAAUAUCCGGACUGAUAGCUUGUAGGUGGAUUAUUUGAGAGGUUAGAAAUAGUGUCAUAUUUAGGAAGACCCAACCGGAUCCCCUUCAAGCAAUCCAUAAGAUUAAACAGUUGACGAAGUUUUGGGACCAUGUUCUGGCUAGCCGCUUGUAGUUUUUAAACUUUUUUAUUUUUUUUUCGCCCCCCUUGAGGCCGAUGUUGUCUCACCCAUAUAGCCUAGUUCAUUCUAUCAAUAAAUGAAACAUGUAGCGUGCUAUUUUUUCCUUAAAAAAAAAAAAAACAUAUAAU